GCGGCAUCUGGCAACACUAUAUUGCAAAUUUAUGCCCACAAUUUUGUCGAAAAAAUUUGCAUUUAAAUAAAGAAAAACGCGCAAUUCGGCAAAUUAAUAAUAGUUUUUAUGCCCGCGCUUACUGUAUAUUGAGAUUUGGGCAACCUUUAGCUAUUUGUGUCCGUUAUUGGCAAUCGCACAAGUCGAAGUCGGCGCGUCGGCCCCAGCCGGAACAUACGUACAUAUGCCGAUGGGCAAUAUCAAUAUACAGUGAUAAAUUGCCAUAAUUGUUUGGUAGUUGUGUUUUAAAUGCAUUAUUGACAGGUCCCAAAUAUCCUCUUAGGAUUGGAGCACAAUGUCCAGUUCGGUAUUUACCGAGACAUCAAGCGCCCGGGUUGUGGCCGACGCCGAUUCCAAUCUUGUGGUGGUCUAUGGAAAAAAUGGCAUUUCCUUCGAUGAGCGAGCCAUCGAGAACCUUAUGGAGGAAAAAUCAAUUUCGACCAUAAGCGUGGUACGAAUAACUUCACCCACUCCCAGCAUGCUGGAUCAAGAGGAAGCCGAGCGACUAGAAGAGUUGGAGCGAUUUCUGGACACAAACCACUCGGACGGCGAUGAUUCAGAGAAUGAGGAAAGCGCUGAUGACCAUGGUAGUCAGAGCGAUGGCGGUGAUGACGAUGAGGACAACAGUGAGUGCGUUGAGAUCAAGAGUGAAAUGGAUCACGUUACUGGCGAUGAUGAUGAGGAUAAUAGCAGUAAUGUUGGCGGUGGUUUGUAUAAUGACGACUCAACCGAAACCGAAACGGAAGCUGUUCGAGUAAAGAAGCGCCCUGGUCGUAAGCCUAAGAAAGUAAAGAAACGUAAGCGGCGUAAGCCCAAGGAACGUCCACAAGUUGUGGGUCUCAGUGUAGAGCAGUUCUAUGCGGAAACCACAGCCGAUGUCGUGGUAAAAAAUGCUUUGAAACUGGCAGGUUUAUCAAUCUUUAAGCGAACUCCUGAAACGGAUGCUUUAUUGGAAAUCAUUAGGAAUGACCACAACUAUACGCCCUUUACCUCUCCCGAGCAGAUGCGCAAUCAUAAGACGGCCGAGCGUAUGGCCAUGGAGAGACAGGCGGCCCAAGGUCGCAAGCUUAUUAUGCAGGCUCCUCCAGGAAAUAUUAAAUUAUUUAAUACCAAACGACGUAUCCAGACGACCACGACCACGGCGACGACAACGCCGCCAGCGUCAAAAAUUCUCGUAAAGUCACAGAAGCACCAGCAGCAGGCACUACCGAAGGAGAAACCGGAUACCAUAGCUGUUAAGGCGAUUCAAAGGCCCGGACGAAACUUGAUUAAAAUCAUUUCACCGCCUCCCACUACACCUGUUGAAGAUAACAUCGAAGAUGAUGAGCAUGCCUUUAGUUCGGACUUGGACGCUGAGGAGAUAAGUGAGGAGAGUGAAGAAUCUCGCGAUUCGGAUAAUGACCGGGAUAGUGAUAUGGACUUUAACAUAAGUCGCAGCAAUCGAGUACCAAGUAAAAAGAAACAACGUUUAAAGGUACCCAUAAAACGUGCCAAGCAACAACAAGGCAAGCAGUUACCUCCAGCCACUUCCUCUGUGUUUACUUCGCACACUCCCUCUGCGGCAACAACUCCGACUUUAGUUUCGUCUCCUGUUCAACAACAACAACAGCAGCUAUUGAGGAAGAAACCGAACCGGGUAUUGGCCUCAGAUCAGGCAUCACCUAAAAUAGGUCAAAUUAUUCAGUUAUCAGCGAACAAAGCCCCGCCCACAGUAAUAGCUUUGGGUCGUAAUAUGCAGACAACAUCAUUCCUAAAGAUGCGUCCCGCCCAACAGCAACAACAGCCACAUACACAAGUGGCGAGGAAGACGCCUCCUGUGGUAAUUACAUCAAAUGAAAUAAUCCGAUUGCCUACACCAACAAACCAAGCGGCGGCUUCUUCUUCUGCUGCUGCUGCUGCUGCCAAAAUGCGUCGUAUACCCAUUGUGCAAGUAGGCAGAGUUCAAUCCAAUCCAACAACAUCUGGCGUAUUCACGACUCCGCCACCGCAAGAGGUUAAAGAGAUUGUUAUUAAUAAAAAUAUUGCCAGUCCGAAAGGUGUUUUCACCAAUCUUAACAGUCUGUUGGGCGAGAGUAGUAAAAUAAAAUCAACUGCGGCAUCUCCAUCAGCUUCAUCCUCCACUCCGGACCGCCAACGUCACAUGUCACCGAUGCAACCAUUUAACAAGGGUUUCAUGCCCAUCGGAGUGACGACAGCUUCUACACACAAGUUGCCCGCUCAGAUAGUCAUUGAGACACAUCAAAGCUCAUCGGAACUGGCAGCCGAGAAUGACAAGCAACUCGAUCUCAUUAAUUCAAUAGUCCAGGAUGAGUUGCUCAAGUCUUCACUAAUUGAACAACCUCCAGUCAAUGUGGAUGAGAGUAUACCAAAACUGGUCAAGAUGCUGGAAAGCACCGCCGAGGGAUUGGAUCAAACGGCAUCAAAUUUUGAUCAGAAUCCAAAUCAGUCAACAACUGUGGACACCAUUGACAUAAGCAAUGCCCGUUUGUUGGAGACUCCAGAUGAGGAUGAGAUUACUGCCGAUUUUCUUCAGCAUGUGGUCGGUCUUAUCGAAGAGGAUAAGCAGUUUGAGGCCGAAGUGGUUAAACAGGUCCUUGCCAGUACGGAGCUUGAUCUACUUAAUGCUGUACCAGCUCUGGACUCUCCUGUUCCGAUUUUGCAACAAGCACCGGAUUCUCAGUUAACGGUUCAACCCCUGCCUCCAAUGGCCAGUAGUACGCCCUCAAGAAGUACAACAAUUCCAGUUGCUGAUCCAGAGUCACCUCGUCCCGAUACGAAAAUUGUGCGAGGCAAUGGACGCAUUAUUUAUCUACCGCCCAUUGAGGCACCCACCACGCGGGCCAAGCGUCGGGCCCAGAAUACUUCAGUUCCGGGUUCCAUGGAUCAAAGUAACAUAUCGUUAUCUGACUAUGUCAUGGACAGCAGUAACAGCAGCAUUAGCAAUGAGCUAGUUGCAGCCACAUCUGUUAAACGAACAAACCCCAGGGAACCAUCAAUGACCAGACGGUCAGCUGUGCCCAGACGGUCGCAUACAAAGAUGCUUGCCAGCCAAACCACCGAUGCAGAGGCAUCCGAAUCUCAAGAGGACGACGAUGAUCCAAAUAAGCUUUGGUGUAUUUGUCGUCAGCCACACAAUAAUCGUUUCAUGAUUUGUUGCGAUCUAUGUGAGGAUUGGUAUCAUGGCACCUGUGUUAAUGUUACCAAAGCCAUGGGUCUCGAAAUGGAGCAAAAGGGUAUCGAUUGGAAGUGUCCGAAAUGUAUCAAAAAGAAGGAAGAGAUGUCCCAACCAAGGAUAACGGAUAUGUUAAACAUUCAAGGAGCAGGAGCACCGACAAUUGAGGCUCUAACGCCAAAGAAAUCAACUCCGGGAAGUGCUUCGCCUCAAACAAAGCAUUUAAUUAAACGUCUACCCACACCCACUGCUGCAUCAUCAAUAAGCCCUAACACUAAUCCUCCUGCAUCUCAAACUCCUGUUAGCAAAGUGUUGCAUCAACAGCAAUUGAAUUUUAUUAAACUGGGUGCCAGCAGUGGGCAAGCGGAGAGAACUGCUGCCUGUGUGGUCUGCAAGAGAAUACUUCGCUCCAAUUCAUCGGUGUAUUGCAGCGAUGAGUGCAUCAGGAAAUAUGCACAAGCAGCUAUACAACAGCAGAUGCCAGUAAAAACUCCAGAGACUCCUCCUGUAAUGUCAUUGUCGCCAACAACUAGCGCCAAUUUGUCACACGACGCCAAGAAGAACAAGAAAAAAGAUUUGUUUGAGGAUGUGCUGCGACAAGCAGACAUUUCCAUGCCCAAAGUUGAUCGUAUCAAUGUAUUUGAGCGACGCACUGGACGCGCACUCACAGGUCAUUUGGCACCGACAACCCAACAACUGAAGAAAUGGUUACAGGAUAAUCCUACAUUCGAGGUGUUGCCAACGGCAACUGUAGAGAAACGACCGAUCAAACGAUCAAGUCCUCCAACACCAGAAACGACGAUUGUUGUGAAACCAAAAGCUUUGGCCGAAGUUGCACCCAAAACUGAUUCUAUUCCAACAACCCAAACGAUUCUGAACACGCCUGUAAGCAGAAAGGAAAGGGAGAAGGAAAAGGCUCCAGUCGCUUCUAGAGUGGCAUCUCCAGUGCGAGCCGGUAGUACCAAAUCUGAACCAAUUCGAGUCAAUGUGCGACGAACUCUCAAAGAGCAAUUGCUGGCUAGAAUUAAAGAGGCACAAGAGGCAAAUAAAGAUAAGGCCAUUAAAUGGCUAACAUCGUUGGAGGUGGAGCAAUUUGCCAAGAGUGUGGAGUCAGAAAUGUAUCAUUCGUUUGGACGCGAUGCUGGAGCGAAGUACAAAUCCAAAUAUCGCUCACUUAUGUUCAACAUCAAGGAUCGCAAGAACAAAACGCUUUUUGAAAAAAUAUGUGCCAAGCAGGUGGAACCUAAACAAUUGGUUAGAAUGACUCCCGAACAAUUGGCCAGCCAGGAACUGGCCAAAUGGCGUGAAGAGGAGAACCGCCAUCAAUUGGAUAUGAUUAAGAAAUCUGAAUUGGACAUGCUAUCGUGCACUCAAAACUAUUUGGUGAAUACACACAAGGGCGAGGAAGUCAUUGACCCCAAAAUUGAAGUCACUCUGCCGGAUGAGGAAGCGCAAACGGAGGAGAAGCAAGUGGAGGUAGAAGCUAAGAUAUCUCAAUCGCAUUCGAGUGAAGCUGAUGGUAGUCUUGAGCGUUCGAGUUCCAAGGAGAAGCGACACAAAAGCCAAAAGCAUCACCAUCAUCACCGUCAUCAUCACCAGCGCAACAGGAGCCGUAGUCGGUCACAUAGUCGCAGUCGCAGUUUGGAGAAACGUCAUCGUCGACAUCCUCACAACAACGAUUCAGAAAAGGCCGAUGGCAAGCAUGAUGAGAGCGCCAUCCCUUCACCAUUAGCUGCAUCCUCUUCGCCCUUGCCCAAGAAAGUUAUCGAAAAGAAAACGGAGGAGACACCAACUAAACCAUUGCCUACUUAUAACUUAAUCGAUCAAAUUCUUGAAUCUGAAAAGACUGUGGAACAGGCUGCCAACUUAAAGUUGCCCACCGCCAAACAACCAAAUCUAAAAGCGCCAACAAAAGUGCUACCUACGACUCCAAUGGACAAGUAUGUUCGAUAUGUGCAGGGAAAUGAAGCGUGGUCGACACCUUUAUGGUCCGGAAAUCUCCAUAUGGUCGAUGUAGCCGACUUUCAAGUGAUCAUUCAUCCCGUACAUGGCAACUGUCAGAAUCUGGCCAAAUUGUUGCCCAACAAAUUGGAUGUGAUUGGUCGCAUCACUCGUGUCAAUGUCUGGGACUAUAUAAAAAAGAUUAAAAAGAGUCCCACCAAAGAGAUUAUCAUUGUGAAUCUUUUUCCCCAAAGCCCCAGUGAGACGGCAAGUUUCGAUCAGUUCUACGAAUACUUGGAUUCGCGUCAACGCUUGGGUGUGCUUGGUACGGAUUCAGAUCAGAUACGCGAUUUCUAUAUAUUUCCACUGGGCACCAAAGACCAUUUGCCUAGUGCUCUCCAAACGGCAGAACGCGUACCUUUCUAUGAGGAUACACAGCGGCCGAACACACUUCUGGGAAUCAUCGUGAGAUGUCUUAGCAAGCGAACUGCGGCAGUUCCAAUACCUUUAAAUACCAGUGCAAACACGAUCAAUUCUAGCAGCAGCAGCAGCAGCAACAUAGCCAGCAAAAAAUCCCGUUCGGCAACCACAUUUACACCGCCAACCAGUCCAAAACGGAAGCGUAGCUCUCACUCCACUAGCUCAAAGGACGAUGAGUUUGAUAUUGAUGCUAUUAUAAAAGCGCCGAUUGCUAAGCUACAGAAAAUAGAUGAACCACCUGGUCACCUAAUCAUACCAGUAGAUGAUCCCAAUGCGCCUUAUUCGCCCGGUGGCAGUUCAGAUGAUGAAAAGCGUUCCAACAAAGGUGAUCUUGAGCGUCAAGUACAGGAAAUCAAUAAGCAAAUUGCUGCCCAGCAAAAAGAAAUUGCUGGAUUGCUCAAUGUGGAACCUUCUGGUAAGCCGACAACAUCGUCUAAUAUACUUGCCGGCAUUUCCAUACCACCAAAUCUAUCAAAAAUUCUGGCUAGCAUAAAGGAAUCGUCGGACACACAGACCACAAGUAAUGCUCUUAAUUCAGAGGAAUACAAUCCUGAAGAUGCAAUUACCACAACCAGUUCAUAUCCAGUUAUAGCGGCAAGAAAGAGCAGAAGCCGUUUGGCGCAGCUAAGUGAAGCAGAGCUUCUUAGCAUGGUACCAGACAAUUUGGCAGAUGUGGCGGCCACUCCAGCAACAUCCAACACAAAUCGUUAUCAACAGCAGCAGCAGCAGCAACAACACUAGCCUUGCCUUCAUCAAAUUAUUCUUCUGCAACAACCAGCCAACUCGAACCUUAUUUGUAAUUAGUUUUUGAACGGAAUUCGAUAUCUGAUUUUUAGCUACUCCUUCCCAACCAAGGCAAAGGCACAGUGUACAAUCUUAUUCGGCGUAUUGAAUACCAUUUCUGUAUUAUAUCCUUAUCGAUUGGAACAAUUCUUUUAUUAUUUCCCCGCACUUUCGAUUACUUUGAUCUCACAGGGGUCAUCAUGACCACUAAAGUGGGCACAGGAUAUUUUGGGGCCAUUGUGCACGCG
Drosophila willistoni is the source of this 6663-nucleotide RNA transcript. RefSeq lists it as uncharacterized. NCBI's taxonomy places the organism in Eukaryota, Metazoa, Arthropoda, Insecta, Diptera, Drosophilidae. The transcript has 12 exons. The record is from RefSeq and is a predicted model, not a curated record.